AAAAAAAUGAUAAAAAAUCGGUUAUAGGAUGAAAAAAUGAUUAAAAAAUAUCAGAAGUUAAACACGGCUACAGGAUUGUGGCACAAAGACGAUAAAAAAUGAUAAAGAACGUGUACACGUGUUGGUCAUCGCGGGAAGGGAAAAGUUCGGCCUUUCCAUUUGUUUCCAGAACGAGGCUUUUCCAUUUGUUUCCAGAAGGAUCUCUCCCGUUCUCUCUCAAAACCGUGAACCACAAACCACGAACCACAACAUCCUUCUCAGUUCGACGGCAUCUCAUCCCUCCUCCUCCGUUGUACAACAUCUCGCCCUCCAGGCUCCUCUCUCCUUCCUCCUCCUCCGUUGGGCAGCAUCUCCUCCGCUCUUUCUCAUGGGUAUUUUUUUUCAUCUUUGUAUUUCCUCAGAUCCCUUCUGCUUUUACCAAUUACCGCGUAUAAAUACAACAUAAUCUCCACUCUCUCUCAUAUCCUUCCCACUAGGCGAUGAUGGCAGCGAGGGGCAUCUCGCUCCGCGUUGUCGAAGGCCAGGUCUCUUCCUCUGCUUCCACUCCAUUCAUUUUAUUUUUUUAUUUUUCAUCUUGAAAAAUGAAAAAAGGCUUGGCUUUCUGAUUUUCCAAUGCUAUUAUAUAUACUUUCUUAUUUAUGGAAAUUAGUUCUGAUUUUCCAGUUCACCCAAACCGAAUUUUGACUUUUGGUCGAUUUUCAGCUAUUCCACUCCAUACACAACCAAACGCCAGAACAAGGUAAUGUGUCUCACUCUCAGUCUUUGUUUUAUCUACCCUUUUGUUUAUUUAGGCUGAAAGAUUCCAAGAAUUAUAAUUUAGAAACUGCAAAGCAGUGGGUUGUGGGUCUAUGUUUCUAACUGUUAAUGAGUUGGAUUUUUGAAGGUAAGAAUUCAAAAGUGGGUACUUUUUGGUUAUUUGGUGCAUUAGGUUUUUGUAGUUUGAGGAGAAUUUUUAACAGUGGCCACAUCUGAAUGAGCUGGUGUAGUGCUACACCACAAACUGGAUGAAGGUCACAAUAAGUAUUAGUCACUACGAGAGCGUUGGACUGUCCUCAUUCUGGAACCAGGUUUAAGAGGGCCCUGACACUAACAUUGAAACCGGUAUAUAACCCUCUUCUUUUCGUCUUUUAGUCUUUCGCUUACUCAAGCAUAUGCUGUCAUUUAAAAUUAGUGGUCCGGUUAAUGUACCUACAGUAUCAGUAGUUCCUCUCUUUUUAAUAGAGUUAUUCCCCUUCUUGCGCACGUAAAAUCUUCAUGUUUGUAAAUGCACACAUCAUAUGACUUUUAACACAAGUCUUGCUUCUAUCAUUUGAUGUUGCUGUGGGACUUUGAGUAUUAUCUUCAACAACUUCACUAGAGGACGCGCUUUUAGUGAGGUGGUGGUUGAAGCAAAGCAGGCAGGUUGAAGCAAAGCAAAGCAACAAAUAUAGGGCCUUUUGAAAAAACUGAGUUGCCCAGGCUGAUCAAAGAGAAAUCAGUUCUUAGUCACAAUCAUAUAAAAAACAUGAUAUACAAGAUUUAUUCUGUACGAUUCUCUGGUUAGGGUAAGCAUUUUGUUGAGCUUUGAUUUUGUGAGGAGGUUUGAGUGGCUUUGUCAUAGAGAUAUUUCAGAAGGGAAUCAGACUUUCCAAUUUCAAGACUAAUGCUUUAAGUUCGUGAUUUACAAAGUUAGCAAAUGCUAAGCUUUUACUAGCUCAGUUCAUGGGACAACAUCUGCUACCUCAACCAACAGUACAGGACGAAAACUUUUCAUGUUCCAGUCGUAAUCUUUUUUGUGCGGAAGGCUAGUAAUCAAUAAUCCUAGCGCGUGAGCAGGCCGCGUCAACGACUCAACAACACGUGAGAUACUGCCACGUACGUCCAACACCAAGAUACCCGUGAUUGAAGCUGGGCGCUGUUUUUUCCUUUAUCUGUUUAUUGAUUGAUUUGUUUAAUGAGAUAAGCUCAAACACUGGAAGAGUGAAACUGAAAUUGAACACAGCAAAGGACACGAGGAGAAAUUAUGGGAUAUUACAGUA
This is a long non-coding RNA of Pyrus x bretschneideri (Chinese white pear), 2018 nucleotides long. RefSeq lists it as uncharacterized. The transcript has 7 exons. The record is from RefSeq and is a predicted model, not a curated record. NCBI's taxonomy places the organism in Eukaryota, Viridiplantae, Streptophyta, Magnoliopsida, Rosales, Rosaceae.